UUCGAGAAAUUUGGGGACUGUUGAUUUAACUUUUUUAAAAAGUUUUUUUGAUGGAAACCAAUUUAAUCGCAGUGGCUUGAACCGGGCAAAAGUCGUAACAAGGUAGCUGUAGGUGAACCUGCUGCUGGAUCAUUA
RNAcentral lists this ribosomal RNA (135 nucleotides) under Meloidogyne fallax. Its description in RNAcentral is "partial 18S ribosomal RNA". It matches the Rfam family "Eukaryotic small subunit ribosomal RNA", at positions 1698 to 1831 of the family's 1831-position model. Lineage: Eukaryota; Metazoa; Nematoda; Chromadorea; Rhabditida; Meloidogynidae. The record is from RNAcentral.